Molecule: ribosomal RNA, 418 nt
Filed under: uncultured bacterium
Lineage: Bacteria
Description: bacterial SSU rRNA
Rfam family: Bacterial small subunit ribosomal RNA
Source: RNAcentral
GAAACAGGGAGGUGCCCUCGAAAGAGGGAGCCAGGAGACAGGUGCUGCAUGGCUGUCGUCAGCUCGUGUCGUGAGAUGUUGGGUUAAGUCCCGCAACGAGCGCAACCCUUGUCCUCUGUUGCCAUCAGGUUAUGCUGGGCACUCUGAGGAGACUGCCGGUGACAAACCGGAGGAAGGUGGGGAUGACGUCAAGUCAGCAUGGCCUUUAUGUCUGGGGCCACACACGUGCUACAAUGGCCGGUACAAACCGUCGCGAUCCCGCGAGGGGGAGCUAAUCGGAGAAAGCCGGUCUCAGUUCGGAUCGCAGGCUGCAACUCGCCUGCGUGAAGUUGGAAUCGCUAGUAAUCGCAGAUCAGCAGGCUGCGGUGAAUACGUUCCCGGGCCUUGUACACACCGCCCGUCACAUCACGAAAGCCGG